GGGUUGUGAGGUUAAGCGACUAAGCGUACACGGUGGAUGCCCUGGCAGUCAGAGGCGAUGAAGGACGUGCUAAUCUGCGAUAAGCGUCGGUAAGGUGAUAUGAACCGUUAUAACCGGCGAUUUCCGAAUGGGGAAACCCAGUGUGUUUCGACACACUAUCAUUAACUGAAUCCAUAGGUUAAUGAGGCGAACCGGGGGAACUGAAACAUCUAAGUACCCCGAGGAAAAGAAAUCAACCGAGAUUCCCCCAGUAGCGGCGAGCGAACGGGGAGGAGCCCAGAGCCUGAAUCAGUGUGUGUGUUAGUGGAAGCGUCUGGAAAGGCGCGCGAUACAGGGUGACAGCCCCGUACACAAAAAUGCACAUAUUGUGAGCUCGAUGAGUAGGGCGGGACACGUGGUAUCCUGUCUGAAUAUGGGGGGACCAUCCUCCAAGGCUAAAUACUCCUGACUGACCGAUAGUGAACCAGUACCGUGAGGGAAAGGCGAAAAGAACCCCGGCGAGGGGAGUGAAAAAGAACCUGAAACCGUGUACGUACAAGCAGUGGGAGCCUCUUAAUGGGGUGACUGCGUACCUUUUGUAUAAUGGGUCAGCGACUUAUAUUCUGUAGCAAGGUUAACCGAAUAGGGGAGCCGAAGGGAAACCGAGUCUUAACUGGGCGUUAAGUUGCAGGGUAUAGACCCGAAACCCGGUGAUCUAGCCAUGGGCAGGUUGAAGGUUGGGUAACACUAACUGGAGGACCGAACCGACUAAUGUUGAAAAAUUAGCGGAUGACUUGUGGCUGGGGGUGAAAGGCCAAUCAAACCGGGAGAUAGCUGGUUCUCCCCGAAAGCUAUUUAGGUAGCGCCUCGUGAAUUCAUCUCCGGGGGUAGAGCACUGUUUCGGCAAGGGGGUCAUCCCGACUUACCAACCCGAUGCAAACUGCGAAUACCGGAGAAUGUUAUCACGGGAGACACACGGCGGGUGCUAACGUCCGUCGUGAAGAGGGAAACAACCCAGACCGCCAGCUAAGGUCCCAAAGUCAUGGUUAAGUGGGAAACGAUGUGGGAAGGCCCAGACAGCCAGGAUGUUGGCUUAGAAGCAGCCAUCAUUUAAAGAAAGCGUAAUAGCUCACUGGUCGAGUCGGCCUGCGCGGAAGAUGUAACGGGGCUAAACCAUGCACCGAAGCUGCGGCAGCGACACUAUGUGUUGUUGGGUAGGGGAGCGUUCUGUAAGCCUGUGAAGGUAGCCUGUGAGGGUUGCUGGAGGUAUCAGAAGUGCGAAUGCUGACAUAAGUAACGAUAAAGCGGGUGAAAAGCCCGCUCGCCGGAAGACCAAGGGUUCCUGUCCAACGUUAAUCGGGGCAGGGUGAGUCGACCCCUAAGGCGAGGCCGAAAGGCGUAGUCGAUGGGAAACAGGUUAAUAUUCCUGUACUUGGUGUUACUGCGAAGGGGGGACGGAGAAGGCUAUGUUGGUCGGGCGACGGUUGUCCCGGUUUAAGCGUGUAGGCUGGUUUUCCAGGCAAAUCCGGAAAACAAAAGGCUGAGNNNNNNNNNNNNNNNNNNNNNNNNNNNNNNNNNNNNNNNNNNNNNNNNNNNNNNNNNNNNNNNNNNNNNNNNNNNNNNNNNNNNNNNNNNNNNNNNNNNNNNNNNNNNNNNNNNNNNNNNNNNNNNNNNNNNNNNNNNNNNNNNGCACUACGGUGCUUGACAAAUGCCCUGCUUCCAGGAAAAGCCUCUAAGCAUCAGGUAACAUCAAAUCGUACCCCAAACCGACACAGGUGGUCAGGUAGAGAAUACCAAGGCGCUUGAGAGAACUCGGGUGAAGGAACUAGGCAAAAUGGUGCCGUAACUUCGGGAGAAGGCACGCUGAUAUGUAGGUGAAGCGACUUGCUCGUGGAGCUGAAAUCAGUCGAAGAUACCAGCUGGCUGCAACUGUUUAUUAAAAACACAGCACUGUGCAAACACGAAAGUGGACGUAUACGGUGUGACGCCUGCCCGGUGCCGGAAGGUUAAUUGAUGGGGUUAGCGGUAACGCGAAGCUCUUGAUCGAAGCCCCGGUAAACGGCGGCCGUAACUAUAACGGUCCUAAGGUAGCGAAAUUCCUUGUCGGGUAAGUUCCGACCUGCACGAAUGGCGUAAUGAUGGCCAGGCUGUCUCCACCCGAGACUCAGUGAAAUUGAACUCGCUGUGAAGAUGCAGUGUACCCGCGGCAAGACGGAAAGACCCCGUGAACCUUUACUAUAGCUUGACACUGAACAUUGAGCCUUGAUGUGUAGGAUAGGUGGGAGGCUUUGAAGUGUGGACGCCAGUCUGCAUGGAGCCGACCUUGAAAUACCACCCUUUAAUGUUUGAUGUUCUAACGUUGGCCCGUAAUCCGGGUUGCGGACAGUGUCUGGUGGGUAGUUUGACUGGGGCGGUCUCCUCCUAAAGAGUAACGGAGGAGCACGAAGGUUGGCUAAUCCUGGUCGGACAUCAGGAGGUUAGUGCAAUGGCAUAAGCCAGCUUGACUGCGAGCGUGACGGCGCGAGCAGGUGCGAAAGCAGGUCAUAGUGAUCCGGUGGUUCUGAAUGGAAGGGCCAUCGCUCAACGGAUAAAAGGUACUCCGGGGAUAACAGGCUGAUACCGCCCAAGAGUUCAUAUCGACGGCGGUGUUUGGCACCUCGAUGUCGGCUCAUCACAUCCUGGGGCUGAAGUAGGUCCCAAGGGUAUGGCUGUUCGCCAUUUAAAGUGGUACGCGAGCUGGGUUUAGAACGUCGUGAGACAGUUCGGUCCCUAUCUGCCGUGGGCGCUGGAGAACUGAGGGGGGCUGCUCCUAGUACGAGAGGACCGGAGUGGACGCAUCACUGGUGUUCGGGUUGUCAUGCCAAUGGCACUGCCCGGUAGCUAAAUGCGGAAGAGAUAAGUGCUGAAAGCAUCUAAGCACGAAACUUGCCCCGAGAUGAGUUCUCCCUGACUCCUUGAGAGUCCUGAAGGAACGUUGAAGACGACGACGUUGAUAGGCCGGGUGUGUAAGCGCAGCGAUGCGUUGAGCUAACCGGUACUAAUGAACCGUGAGGCUUAACCUUACAACGCCGAAG
RNAcentral lists this ribosomal RNA (3053 nucleotides) under Escherichia coli. RNAcentral describes it as "23S ribosomal RNA". It matches the Rfam family "Bacterial large subunit ribosomal RNA". The record is from RNAcentral. Lineage: Bacteria; Pseudomonadati; Pseudomonadota; Gammaproteobacteria; Enterobacterales; Enterobacteriaceae.